RNAcentral lists this long non-coding RNA (273 nucleotides) under Elaeis guineensis (African oil palm). RNAcentral's name for it is "long non-coding RNA (EGUI_LNC044307)". Lineage: Eukaryota; Viridiplantae; Streptophyta; Magnoliopsida; Arecales; Arecaceae. The record is from RNAcentral.
GAGCCUUCCUGCAAUCGAGGUUGGGGAUGAAGUCCGGCUCCCGUAGGAGUCCGGACAGAGUCUACCCGUAGUCGAGGUCGAGGAUGAGGUCCGACACCCGUAAGAGUCCGGACGGAGUCUUCCAGUAGUUGAGGUUGGGGAUGAAGUCCGGCUCCCGUAGGAGUCCGGAUGGAGUCUGCCUGUAGCUGGAGUCGGAGAUGAUCUGGCUCCCAUAGGAGUCCGAUCGAAGCCUACCAGCAAUCGAAGUUGGGGAUGAGGUCUGGCUUCCGUAGG